ACCAACAGGGAUUGCCCUAGUAACGGCGAGUGAAGCGGCAACAGCUCAAAUUUUAAAUCUGGCUCCCUCGGGGGUCCGAGUUGUAAUUUGCAGAGGGUGCUUUGGCGUCGGUAGCGGUCUAAGUUCCUUGGAACAGGACAUCACAGAGGGUGAGAAUCCCGUACGUGGUCGCUAACCUUCGCCGUGUAAAGCCCCUUCGACGAGUCGAGUUGUUUGGGAAUGCAGCUCUAAAUGGGAGGUAAAUUUCUUCUAAAGCUAAAUACCGGCCAGAGACCGAUAGCGCACAAGUAGAGUGAUCGAAAGAUGAAAAGCACUUUGGAAAGAGAGUCAAAUAGCACGUGAAAUUGUUGAAAGGGAAGCGCUUGCAGUCAGACUUGCCCGUAGUUGCUCACCCAGGCUCCUGCCUGGGGCACUCUUCUGCGGGCAGGCCAGCAUCAGUUUGGGCGGCCGGACAAAGACCUCUGUCAUGUAUCUUCCUUCGGGAUGACCUUAUAGGGGAGGUGUAAUGCGGCCAGCCCGGACUGAGGUCCGCGCUUCUGCUAGGAUGCUGGCGUAAUGGCUGUAAGCGGCCCGUCUUGAAACACGGACCAAGGAGUCUAACAUCUAUGCGAGUGUUUGGGUGUCAAGCCCGGGCGCGCAAUGAAAGUGAACGGAGGUGGGAACCUUUGGGUGCACCAUCGACCGAUCCUGAUGUCUUCGGAUGGAUUUGAGUAAGAGCAUAGCUGUUGGGACCCGAAAGAUGGUGAACUAUGCUUGAAUAGGGUGAAGCCAGAGGAAACUCUGGUGGAGGCUCGCAGCGGUUCUGACGUGCAAAUCGAUCGUCAAAUUUGGGCAUAGGGGCGAAAGACU
This 849-nucleotide ribosomal RNA is filed under the name Leucaenicola phraeana. RNAcentral's name for it is "partial large subunit ribosomal RNA". It matches the Rfam family "Eukaryotic large subunit ribosomal RNA", at positions 64 to 932 of the family's 3401-position model. The record is from RNAcentral. Lineage: Eukaryota; Fungi; Ascomycota; Dothideomycetes; Pleosporales; Bambusicolaceae.